GACGAACGCUGGCGGCGUGCUUAACACAUGCAAGUCGAACGGAAAGGCCCUGCUUUUGUGGGGUGCUCGAGUGGCGAACGGGUGAGUAACACGUGAGUAACCUGCCCUUGACUUUGGGAUAACUUCAGGAAACUGGGGCUAAUACCGGAUAGGAGCUCCUGCUGCAUGGUGGGGGUUGGAAAGUUUCGGCGGUUGGGGAUGGACUCGCGGCCUAUCAGCUUGUUGGUGGGGUAGUGGCUUACCAAGGAUUUGACGGGUAGCCGGCCUGCGAGGGUGACCGGCGACAUUGGGACUGAGAUACGGCCCAGACUCCUACGGGAGGCAGCAGUGGGGAAUAUUGCACAAUGGGCGGAAGCCUGAUGCAGCAACGCCGCGUGCGGGAUGACGGCCUUCGGGUUGUAAACCGCUUUCGCCUGUGACGAGGCGUGAGUGACGGUAAUGGGUAAAGAAGCUCCGGCUAACUACGUG
This 468-nucleotide ribosomal RNA is filed under the name uncultured bacterium. RNAcentral's name for it is "partial 16S ribosomal RNA". It matches the Rfam family "Bacterial small subunit ribosomal RNA", at positions 28 to 507 of the family's 1533-position model. The record is from RNAcentral.